GCUCCUGGCACAAGGACCCUGCGUCUUCUGUCCCCUCCCUCACUCAGACCCUCCCACAGGGUGCCCUCGCCAUCCCAUUGACCUUCAGGCUGUGAGGGUGGCCUUUGGGUUCCCCGCCUUGGCCCCUGGCCACCUGCACGUCCUGCCCCUCCUCCCACUCCCAGGCGCCUCUGGGCCUCCGCUCAGGCCGUCAAACCCAGCUCCACCAGGCCCCGGCCGUGUGCCCUUGGACAAGUGCCGUCUCCAGAGCCUCAGCCCCCUGUUUGCAAGAGCUUGUGAGCUAAAGCGUGCCAGGCCCUGAGUGCGAGGCUGGGAUGAACUGGCAUUCCUGCUGGCUCUGGCCUCUGGGACAGCACCUCCUCCAGCUCACUGCCCUCCACCCUUCCAGCUACAGCUCCCUCCGGUGCCCCAGAACCGCCCGGCACUCCGGGGCUCCCAGGUUCAUCUGGGCAUGACUCCGCCCUCCCGACAGAGCCCUCUGCACACCCCCUCCCCACCCUGGCCCAUCGCAGCUCUUCACGAAGACGCUUCAUGGAAUGGGUGAUUUUCCUAAGCACUUUUCUUUCCAUGAUCUCAUUUGGUCCUCACAGCACCUGGAGGAGGGCAGACAGGCUGUUGCUCCAUUUUACAGAUUUUCCAGACCAGGCUUUCUGAGAGGCUGUUAAUGAGCCAAACCAUUCUGCUAACCGUCGUUUUCAGAAGGGCCACCCGGCUCACGGUUCUCUUUAUUCAGGCAAAGCCAUCAAGACCCCGGACCCGGACCUCUCUGGAUCUGCAUCCUCCCCCUAGUAAAAUGGGAGACACACCGCUAUCCAGACAACUGGGAUUCCUGGACCAGACUUUUCUUUUGAGCUCCUGGCAGCCUCCAGUCAGCUUUCUGUCUCUAUGGACUGGCCUGUCCUAGACAUUCCUUAUCAAUGGAGUCACACAGUAUGUGGUCAUUUCGUCUGGCUUCUUUCACUUAGCACCAUGGCAUCAGGGUUCAUCCACAUUGUAUAACCUGGAUCGGU
This is a long non-coding RNA of Homo sapiens (human), 1010 nucleotides long. RefSeq annotates it as long independently transcribed non-coding RNA 2176. The record is from RefSeq and is a predicted model, not a curated record. The transcript is spliced from 4 exons. NCBI's taxonomy places the organism in Eukaryota, Metazoa, Chordata, Mammalia, Primates, Hominidae.